GACGAACGCUGGCGGCGUGCUUAACACAUGCAAGUCGAACGGAAAGGCCCUGCUUUUGUGGGGUGCUCGAGUGGCGAACGGGUGAGUAACACGUGAGUAACCUGCCCUUGACUUUGGGAUAACUUCAGGAAACUGGGGCUAAUACCGGAUAGGAGCUCCUGCUGCAUGGUGGGGGUUGGAAAGUUUCGGCGGUUGGGGAUGGACUCGCGGCUUAUCAGCUUGUUGGUGGGGUAGUGGCUUACCAAGGCUUUGACGGGUAGCCGGCCUGAGAGGGUGACCGGCCACAUUGGGACUGAGAUACGGACCAGACGCCUACGGGACGCAGCAGGGGGGAAUAUUGCACAAUGGGCGGAAGCCUGAUGCAGCAACGCCGCGUGCGGGAUGACGGCCUUCGGGUUGUAAACCGCUUUCGCAUGUGACGAAGCGUGAGUGACGGUAAUGGGUAAAGAAGCACCGGCUAACUACGUG
Molecule: ribosomal RNA, 468 nt
Filed under: uncultured bacterium
Lineage: Bacteria
Description: partial 16S ribosomal RNA
Rfam family: Bacterial small subunit ribosomal RNA
Source: RNAcentral